UACGUAGGCAGCAAGCGUUGUUCGGAGUUACUGGGCGUAAAGGGUGUGUAGGCGGUUCUCUAAGUUUGGGGUGAAAUCUCCCGGCUCAACUGGGAGGGUGCGCCGAAAACUGGGGGGCUAGAGUACUGGAUGGGAGAGUGGAAUUCCUGGUGUAGCGGUGAAAUGCGUAGAUAUCGAGAGGAACACCGGUGGCGAAGGCGGCGAUCUGGACGAUGACUGACGCUGAGACGCGAAAGCGUGGGGAGCAAACAGG
Molecule: ribosomal RNA, 253 nt
Filed under: uncultured bacterium
Lineage: Bacteria
Description: partial 16S ribosomal RNA
Rfam family: Bacterial small subunit ribosomal RNA
Source: RNAcentral